AUUGAACGCUGGCGGCAGGCUUAACACAUGCAAGUCGAACGAGUGGCGGACGGGUGAGUAAUGCUUGGGAAUCUCGCUUAUGGAGGGGGAUAACUACGGGAAACUGUAGCUAAUACCGCGUACAAAAGGAUGAGCCCAAGUGGGAUUAGGUAGUUGGUGAGGUAACGGCUCACCAAGCCGCCGAUCCCUAGCUGGUCUGAGAGGAUGACCAGCCACACUGGGACUGAGACACGGCCCAGACUCCUACGGGAGGCAGCAGUGGGUAAUAUUGCGCAAUUGGGGCAACCCUGACGCAGCCAUGCCGCGUGUAUGAAGAAGGCCUUCGGGUUGUAAAGUACUUUCAGUCGGGAGGCGUUACCGACAGAAGAAGCACCGGCUAACUCCGUGCCAGCCGCCGCGGUAAUAC
RNAcentral lists this ribosomal RNA (406 nucleotides) under uncultured bacterium. Its description in RNAcentral is "partial 16S ribosomal RNA". It matches the Rfam family "Bacterial small subunit ribosomal RNA", at positions 30 to 526 of the family's 1533-position model. The record is from RNAcentral.